CCCUUAGAUGUUCUGGGCCGCACGCGCGCUACACUGACGAAUGCAACGAGCUUAUAACCUUGGCCGAAAGGUCUGGGUAAUCUCCAAAUUUCGUCGUGAUGGGGAUAGAUUAUUGCAAUUAUUAAUCUUCAACGAGGAAUGCCUAGUAAGCGCAAGUCAUCAGCUUGCGUUGAUUACGUCCCUGCCCUUUGUACACACCGCCCGUCGCUCCUACCGAUUGAAUGAUUUAGUGAGGACUUCGGACUGGGACCGAUGCGGCUUUCGGGCUGCGUCGGUAUUCUGGAAAGAUGUCCAAACUGUAUCAUUUAGAGGAAGUAAAAGUCGUANCA
RNAcentral lists this ribosomal RNA (329 nucleotides) under uncultured eukaryote. RNAcentral describes it as "partial 18S ribosomal RNA". It matches the Rfam family "Eukaryotic small subunit ribosomal RNA", at positions 1470 to 1796 of the family's 1831-position model. The record is from RNAcentral.